This 255-nucleotide ribosomal RNA is filed under the name uncultured bacterium. RNAcentral's name for it is "partial small subunit ribosomal RNA". It matches the Rfam family "Bacterial small subunit ribosomal RNA", at positions 26 to 286 of the family's 1533-position model. The record is from RNAcentral.
AGGACGAACGCUGGCGGCGUGCUUAACACAUGCAAGUCGAGCGGAAAGGCCCUUCGGGGUACUCGAGCGGCGAACGGGUGAGUAACACGUGAGUAAUCUGCCCCUAGCUCUGGGAUAGCUCCGGGAAACCGGGAUUAAUACCGGAUACGACCACCUUAGACAUCUUUUGUGGUGGAAAGAAUUUCGGCCAGGGAGGGGCUCGCGGCCUAUCAGCUUGUUGGAGGGGUAACGGCCCACCAAGGCGACGACGGGUAG